GGCCUGGUGGUGUAAUGGCAACAUGUCUUGUGUAAUUAUUGAGUCAGCUUGGUGUAUCCCAGGAAGAUCCCUGUUCAACUCAGGGUCAGGCCA
Molecule: non-coding RNA, 93 nt
Organism: Mycena galericulata
Lineage: Eukaryota; Fungi; Basidiomycota; Agaricomycetes; Agaricales; Mycenaceae
Source: the annotation of a GenBank genome assembly